RNAcentral lists this ribosomal RNA (253 nucleotides) under uncultured bacterium. RNAcentral describes it as "partial 16S ribosomal RNA". It matches the Rfam family "Bacterial small subunit ribosomal RNA", at positions 524 to 777 of the family's 1533-position model. The record is from RNAcentral.
UACGUAGGUGGCAAGCGUUGUCCGGAUUUACUGGGCGUAAAGAGCUCGUAGGCGGCUUGGCAAGUCGGAUGUGAAACUCCAGGCUCAACCUGGAGCCGCCAUUCGAUACUGCUAUGGCUAGAGUCCGGUAGGGGAGUGUGGAAUUCCCGGUGUAGCGGUGAAAUGCACAGAUAUCGGGAGGAACACCGAUGGCGAAGGCAGCACUCUGGGCCGGUACUGACGCUGAGGAGCGAAAGCGUGGGAGCGAACGAGG